AAGUUGACCAUUUGCCUUGAAGAAACCGCGUUAAACCGUCUCAAACGCGUCAUAAGAUCUCGCAACUGUCAGAAAAUCUCUGUAUUUGCUUGCUUCAGCCCCAUUACAUGCCCAAAUCAUGUUCGAAAUUUGAAAUUUGAAUAGCGCUGAUCUUUAGUCGAAUAUUAUUUGAUUUCCAAACCUCUCUCUUUUCACAAUUUGCAAUUUCUUCAUUCUCUCUCUCACUUUCUUCAUUCUCUUUCUCGGUGAAAGUGAAACCCAGUUGCGUUUGAGCUCACUAACGAAUUCAAAAUCAGCGAAACCCUAAAUCCACCCACCCACUCUCUCAUUCUGAUCGAUCGAUUUUCAAUUGAUCGCCUUUUCACUUUCCUCAAUUUAUUUCUUUCUUUUCUGACAUUGUUUCCGUGAAUUUGAAGAGUUGUGUUCUCUGUAAUUGAUUCUGGGAAUGAAGUAGAAAAUGGAAGGUGAUUUUCAGUUUGGGUCGAAUUCAAAUUGUUUGGAUAUUCUCUCUGAGGUUGCAGUUGUUGUCAAAAAUUGGGAGGAAGAGGAUGUUGAGAAGGCCAUGGCCAUGGCUGUGAGAAGCCGCUGUAACCCACUUCAGGGAUUUGGGUUUGAUGGGUAUGUGGUUUCUGACAAAGCCACGAUCAAGAUAACGAAUAGGGUUAGGGUUUCAUCAUCAUCAUCAUCAUCUGCCUUGGAUAUGUUGCUUCAAGUUACAAGCAAUGAAUUGAUGGAGUUGAAAAAAGCCAACACCUUCGGUGGCAUAUGCAUACCUAAGAAGAAAAGAACAAGUCUGAGAAGGGGGAGGACGGUGCUUACUUCCUUUCCAUGCUCUUCUCAUGAUUCCAUCCCACUACAUCAGAUACCAAGGAAGAAAAGGUCCAAUCUGAGGAGGGGGAGGACAAUACAUAACUUCCUUUCCAUGCACUUCUUGCAAGAAUUAGACAGGGUUUUGGCAGAGAAGGGUACUGUUGACUUCACACUCUUCCCACUCAACGACAUUUGCAUACCCAAGAAGAAAGCUGCCAAAGUGAAUCCAAUGAAGCUCUGCUCAUUCCGGCUUAAUUCCCCUGCCUGUUCAAGUACUUCUUGCAUCAGCCAGGACUGUUAGUGCACUGCAUACAUAUAAGGAGAUUGAAUUGUAUGUUAUCUCUUCAAUGGAAUGAAUCUUCAAUGGGGUUCUGUGCAUACUCAAAUUGAGGCAAGUUUUUCUCUUUUGCUUUCUCUUCGCAUGCUAUUCUGUCUGCCUGUCCAUUUUUAUAUCCUUUUCCUCAUUAAUCCAUGCUUCAUAUUUGGAAUUGAUUUUUUUUUAAUUAGAUUAUGCAUACGUUAAUUUCUAAUUAUUUGGUUGGCUAAUAUCAUCAUUCUACUUAUGGAGGAGAAUAGAAGAGCUAUCUUCUUUAUUGUCUCAUAAUUUUUUAAUCUGUGGCUAAUAUUUGUGGUUGGCACCUAUUGUCCAUUUUUGUUAUUGUGCCCCACAUGGCUUUCAUGUUUUUUUGGGUGAAGUAAAAACAACUAAGCAAUGCAAAAAUCUCUAUUUUGGUUAACUGGGGUAUAAUUUUGACAAACAUGAUACAAUAUUCAUGAAGGAUCAACUUUUGACUCUUGGAUCAUCUAGUUUAAUACUUUCAGCUAGAUUGGAUGAUUUGUUUGGUGAUUCUGUAAAACUUAGACUUAUUUCUGAAUAUCUUUGUCACAGUGUGUUAGUUCUCUUUCGAUGGAGCUGUCCCUUUCUAUGGAAUUAGGCUCAGAAAAUCUGUAUAAUUAAGCUCAUCACUAGUAUAGAAAGUGGUGAAUUUGUAUAAUUCACCACACUCUGUGAAUUUGUACAAUUAUGCUCAUUACUGGUAUAGAACUGUCCCUCCACUCAGAAAAUUUGUAUAUUUAGGCUCCAGAAUAGUAUGCGGUGAAUUUCAACUCUUUCACUAACCAAUCUUCAACUUUCCUUUGAUUAUUACUUGAAGAACUGGAUUAAUUGUCAUAUCUGAAAGUGCAGCUUGUCCUUUGUAAUUCUUGAGCAAUUCUUCUCUGUGGUUCUGAUGUCUACUUACUUUCUUGAGCAAUGAGGAAGAAAAAGGAGCCAACCAGUUCACUGCCUCAGUGAAGAGGUCGUUCAGAAAAUGCAAAUGAGAAUGAAGCACCAGUGGAGAGCAUUGCUUGUAAUUGUGGUAAGAUUCUUAUAAACAACCAAAACUAAUCUCGAAAUUCAAAAUUAUGUGGUUGAAGAUAAGAUAAUUUUUUAGCUCACAAUCAGGCAUAUCACAUGGACCUCUAGUUGAAUUCUUAUAGCAACCAAUAGUGACAAGCCUAAGCUCAUGAGUCUAUUUGGAGAGCAAUGGACAACAGAGUAAUGAGGAUGAAACGUCUAUUGGUGCAGUGCAUAGCAUAUUUCUUGACCUUUUGACAAUUUGAUUUCUAAGCAGCAUGUCCUGCUCUCUCUCUCUCUCUCCUUCAUUUAUUUUUCUCCCCAACCUUCUCAGUUUCAUCUCACUUUUUGAGGCUAUCAAAUAUCAGUUCUGUGCUUGCUGCAACAUUUCUGUACAUGUACUAUGUUCGCUGCAUUUGAAGUCUUGUUUACCUGAUUGUUCUUGUUGCUAGGUCUCUCUUUAUCCCCCUCCCCCUUUCCUCUUUUUCUGAUCUUCUCGCUUUCAUCUCAGUUUUUUAGGCUUUCAGGUAUGGGUUGUGUGCUUGGUGCAGGAUUUCUGUACAUGUACUAUGCUCACUUUAAAAGGGAAGUUUCUCUAGAACUUAAUAUUGAUCUAUAUUUUGCUAUGAAAUGCAAAUCACACUUAUGCAUCCAAAUCUUUCAAGGUGGCUAAGAAUUUUAAAUAAGUCUUGGAUGGUGUUGCAGGUUUACGUUGUUUUUCUGCUGAUCAUAUGAAUUAUCUUGAUUGAUGAUUAUGUAUGGACAACUUGUUUGUCUUUCCUUGUAUGUUUAUUAAACUUUAAGCUCUCUUGUAUGAAAAAAGAGGUCGGUGUAUUCUUACUCUUGUUAGGUGAUAUCAUUGCUUCCUUACUCUUGUUUUGGAUUUCAUCUCAAUAGUAAAUUUAUAAUUGAAAUUAUUUCCUUUGAAAGGUUAUAUUCGACACAUGAUUGUUAUUUUUUUUUUGGACUCCUGAACAAUGUUGUUUGAAAGAUUUUGCAGGGUUUGCAACAAAUUGAAUUUAUUCUUUGUUUACCAAAAGAAAACAAGGUUAGAAAGAGGGGUGAAAAAAGGCGUGAUGAUCCUAAAUGGCUCAACUUCACAUGCCCCAUUCCCUCUAUUCUGAAAUUACAGCUAAAUUCUGAUACUUUGUUGUAAGAAAA
Prunus avium (sweet cherry) is the source of this 3307-nucleotide RNA transcript. RefSeq lists it as uncharacterized. The record is from RefSeq and is a predicted model, not a curated record. Lineage: Eukaryota; Viridiplantae; Streptophyta; Magnoliopsida; Rosales; Rosaceae.